GAGCUAGAUGUGUACACUCACCUGCCGAAGCAACUAGCCCUGAAAAUGGAUGGCGCUAAAGCUUCUCACUUAUACCCCGCCGUUCAGUCAGAGCUGGCCCUUGUGGCCCUGACGACUGAACGAGUAGGCAGGUCGCAUCGGUGGCGCAGAAGGCUCUGGGUGUGAACCUGGCUGGAGCCGCCGGUGGUGCAGAUCUUGGUGGUAGUAGCAAAUACUCCAGAGAGGCCCUGGAGGACCGAUGUGGAGAAGGGUUUCGUGUGAACAGCUGUUGGACACGAGUCAGUCGAUCCUAAGUCUUAGGGGAAGCCUUAUUUAAUAGAGCGGUGUUUUCUCUCGCAGACAGACCGCAUCUACAGACGAAAGGGAAUGAGGUCCUUAUUCCUCAACCUGAUAGCGGAACCGAUCCAGGCCCUCGUACCUGACGCGGCAACGCGAAUUGAGCCUGAGACGUCUGCCCUAGCUCUGGGAAGAGUUGUCUUUUCUGCAUAAGCCGCCGAGGCCCUGGAAUUCCUUCGUGGAGAGAAUGGGUUUUGGUCUAGGCAAAGAGUCCAGCAGUUCUCGCUGGAUCCAUGAGUGCAGGGUGGAACCUUGAAAAUCAGGCUGAGGGUUACGGCGGAGUCGCAUCAGCUCGUACCCAUAUCCGCAGCAGGUCUCCUAGGUGAAUAGCCUCUGGUCGAUAGAAUAAUGUAGGUAAGGGAAGUCGGCAAAUUGGAUCCGUAACUUCGGGAUAAGGAUUGGCUCUGAGGGCCGGGGUGCUUGGGCUCUGUGCUGGAAGCGGGUUGGCCUACCGGCGGGUCUGGCCGAGCCCUCGGGUGAAGUCGGCCCCGUUUCACAGGCUCCCGUGGAUAGCCAUUGCUUUGCGGGCCCGGUGCAAGCCGGUGUCCCGUUCAAGCAUCAAUCAACGGCUAACUCAGAACUGGCACGGACUAGGGGAAUCCGACUGUCUAAUAAAACAAAGCAUGCAUU
This 966-nucleotide ribosomal RNA is filed under the name Paraeuchaeta pseudotonsa. RNAcentral's name for it is "eukaryotic LSU rRNA". It matches the Rfam family "Eukaryotic large subunit ribosomal RNA", at positions 1276 to 2164 of the family's 3401-position model. Lineage: Eukaryota; Metazoa; Arthropoda; Copepoda; Calanoida; Euchaetidae. The record is from RNAcentral.